This 651-nucleotide long non-coding RNA is filed under the name Equus asinus (donkey). RNAcentral describes it as "lncRNA (ENSEASG00005026735.1)". The record is from RNAcentral. Lineage: Eukaryota; Metazoa; Chordata; Mammalia; Perissodactyla; Equidae.
ACACGGAUGAUGGCAAUUGGGCAGCACCAGAUCCAGCAAAUGCUUGGUGUGAGGACAGGUGGGGCCCAAGCGGACUGUGCCCAAGAGAAUCAAAUUUCCAGCCAUUCAGUGGACAUUUAAGUUUGUUUCUGUUUGCAUGGAAAGCUAGCAACUGCCUGCAGCAGCUCUCCAGAAAUUAGAAGCAAAGGCUCGUGAGCUCGGCAAACAUUCUCCAUGGUUAUGGAAGCCUUGUGCUAAUGAAGCCUGUGUGGCCAUGGCUUGAUGAGUGGCGUGUACAUCUGCACCCGGGAUCUGAACCCACAAACCCCAGGCCACUGAAGCAAAGCGGGCGAACUUAACCACUAUGCCACCAGGUACCUGCGACAAUGGUCCCCUCAACAACAAUACCAAAGGUUUCUGCUCUGGCGGAAUCAUUGAUUUGCUGCUCCUAUUGUGUUUGCUGCCUACUUUCAUAAUGGAGGGAAACGCAGAUUUUCGGUCUGAGGAUAGUGAAAAUGAAGAUGUAGUUUUUUUCCCCUCCAAACUGAUAGACUUCCUGAGUUCCAGCCUUAGCCUGCUGCGAGGUCAACGGACUCAGGGUGAAGAAGCCCCAGUGGAUACAGAGAGCAUAUUCCUGAUUAGGGAGCUUCACAAGCGGCCUGCAAAAGAAAA